RNAcentral lists this ribosomal RNA (433 nucleotides) under uncultured bacterium. Its description in RNAcentral is "partial 16S ribosomal RNA". It matches the Rfam family "Bacterial small subunit ribosomal RNA", at positions 29 to 507 of the family's 1533-position model. The record is from RNAcentral.
AACGAACGCUGGCGGCAUGCCUAACACAUGCAAGUCGAACGAGACCUUCGGGUCUAGUGGCGCACGGGUGCGUAACGCGUGGGAACCUGCCCUUAGGUUCGGAAUAACUCCCCGAAAGGGGUGCUAAUACCGGAUAAUGUCUUCGGACCAAAGAUUUAUCGCCUUUGGAUGGGCCCGCGUUGGAUUAGCUAGUUGGUAAGGUAAAAGCCUACCAAGGCGACGAUCCAUAGCUGGUCUGAGAGGAUGAUCAGCCACACUGGGACUGAGACACGGCCCAGACUCCUACGGGAGGCAGCAGUGGGGAAUAUUGGACAAUGGGCGAAAGCCUGAUCCAGCAAUGCCGCGUGAGUGAUGAAGGCCUUAGGGUUGUAAAGCUCUUUUACCCGGGAUGAUAAUGACAGUACCGGGAGAAUAAGCUCCGGCUAACUCUGUG